AGUGAACGCUGGCGGUAGGCCUAACACAUGCAAGUCGAACGGCAGCACAGUAAGAGCUUGCUCUUACGGGUGGCGAGUGGCGGACGGGUGAGGAAUAUAACGGAACCUACUUUUUCGUGGGGGUUAACGUAGGUAAACUUACGCUAAUACCGCAUACGAUCUAUGGGUGUAAGGAGGGGAACUUCGGACCUUGCGCGAUUGAAUGAGCGGAUGUGGGAUUAGCUAGUUGGCGGGGUAAAGGCCCACCAAGGCGACGAUCCGUAGCUGGUCUGAGAGGAUGAUCACCGACAUGGGAGGUGAGACGGGGUCAAGACUCCUACGAGAGGCACCAGAGGCGAAUGUUGGUCAGUAGGCGGGAUCCUUGCCCAACCAUACGGAGCGCGUGAAGGAGACGUCCGGGGUGGAAAGCCCUUUUGUUGGUUGUGAACAGCUGCCGGUUAUUACGCAGCUGGUCUGACGGUACCCGAAGAAUAAGCACCGGCUAACUUCGUG
RNAcentral lists this ribosomal RNA (492 nucleotides) under uncultured bacterium. RNAcentral's name for it is "partial 16S ribosomal RNA". It matches the Rfam family "Bacterial small subunit ribosomal RNA", at positions 29 to 507 of the family's 1533-position model. The record is from RNAcentral.